AGUCGAACGGGGUUUAUAUAACAGAACUCUCCGGAGGGAAGAUAUAUAAACCUAGUGGCGGACGGGUGAGUAACGCGUGGGCAACCUGCCCUGUACCGGGGGACAACAGCCAGAAAUGGCUGCUAAUACCGCAUAAGCCUGCUGUGCCGCAUGGCACAGCAGGGAAAACCACGGUGGUACAGGAUGGGCCCGCGUCUGAUUAGUUAGUUGGCAGGGUAACGGCCUACCAAGACAACGAUCAGUAGCCGGCUUGAGAGAGUGGACGGCCACAUUGGGACUGAGACACGGCCCAGACUCCUGCGGGAGGCAGCAGUGGGGAAUAUUGCACAAUGGGGGGAACCCUGAUGCAGCAAUGCCGCGUGGGUGAAGAAGCACUCCGGUGCGUAAAGCCCUGUCAGCAGGGAAGAAAAUGACAGUACCCUGAACAAGAAGCCCCCGGCUAACUACGUGCCAACAGCCGCGGUAAUACGUAGGGGGCAAGCGUUAUCCGGAUUUACUGGGUGUAAAGGGAGCGCAGGCGGCGUGGCAAGUCAGAUGUGAAAACCCGGGGCCCAACCCCGGGAGUGCAUUUGAAACUGCCAUGCUGGAGUGCCGGAGAGGUAAGCGGAAUUCCUAGUGUAGCGGUGAAAUGCGUAGAUCUUUUGGGGAACACCAGUGGCGGAGGCGGCUUA
RNAcentral lists this ribosomal RNA (671 nucleotides) under uncultured bacterium. RNAcentral's name for it is "bacterial SSU rRNA". It matches the Rfam family "Bacterial small subunit ribosomal RNA", at positions 60 to 728 of the family's 1533-position model. The record is from RNAcentral.